AGUCCUGUGGAGUAAUAGCUCAUUGAAUUGCAAAUUCAAGGGUGCAGAUUAGAGUCUGCCGGGGCUU
RNAcentral lists this transfer RNA (67 nucleotides) under Hasemania nana. Its description in RNAcentral is "tRNA-Cys". It matches the Rfam family "tRNA". Rfam says of the family: Transfer RNA (tRNA) molecules are approximately 80 nucleotides in length. The record is from RNAcentral. Lineage: Eukaryota; Metazoa; Chordata; Actinopteri; Characiformes; Acestrorhamphidae.